RNAcentral lists this ribosomal RNA (428 nucleotides) under uncultured prokaryote. Its description in RNAcentral is "bacterial SSU rRNA". It matches the Rfam family "Bacterial small subunit ribosomal RNA", at positions 355 to 774 of the family's 1533-position model. The record is from RNAcentral.
UGAGGAAUUUUGCGCAAUGGGAGCAAUCCUGACGCAGCAACGCCGCGUGGGUGAUGAAGGCCUUCGGGUCGUAAAGCCCUGUCAGGUGGGAAGAAUGUCCCGGGACUGAACAGGUUCCGGGAGUGACGGUACCACCAGAGGAAGCACCGGCUAACUCCGUGCCCGCAGCCGCGGUAAUACGGAGGGUGCAAGCGUUAUUCGGAAUUACUGGGCGUAAAGCGCGUGUAGGCGGUCAUGCAAGUCUGAGGUGAAAGCCCCGGGCGUAACCCGGGAAGUGCAGUGGAAACUGUGGGACGUGAGUACCGGAGAGGAUGGGGGAAUUCCCGGUGUAGAGGUGAAAGUCGUAGAGAUCGGGAGGAAUAUCAGUGGCGAAGGCGCCCAUCUGGACGGUAACUGACGCUGAGACGCGAAAGCGUGGGGAGCAAACA